Molecule: long non-coding RNA, 768 nt
Filed under: Salvia miltiorrhiza (redroot sage)
Lineage: Eukaryota; Viridiplantae; Streptophyta; Magnoliopsida; Lamiales; Lamiaceae
Description: long non-coding RNA (SMIL_LNC014441)
Source: RNAcentral
GUUUUAAAAUUUUAUUAAAUAUUAUAGAUUUGGUGUUUUGUAAUAUUGAUGUAUUGCAAAUAUAGUUGUAUGACUAUAUGUAUGAUUUAGAAUUUUAAUAUUUUAUUGAUUUUGUGUUUUUGGUGAUUGGUGUAUUGAUAAUAUAGUAGAAUAAAAGUGUAUAACAGGGCGUCGAAAGCUGGGGUAGAGCAAAUUUUAUUUUUUUUAUUUUUUUUUAAAAUCAGCGACGGAAUCGAAAUCCGUCGCUAAAGUUGCACAGGCGAAUACCGACGGAUUUUCUGUCCGUCGCUAUUUAGCGACGGAAUUUUCCGUCGCUGUUUCCGUCGCUAACGACUGACGACGAUUUCGACGUCGUUUUUCGCCGACGGUGGAGCCGUCGUUAUUUCCGUCGGAGAAUUACCGACGGACGGAAUUUCCGUCGGUAUUUAGUUUAGCGACCAGCUUUGCCGCGACUGACGGCCUCCGUCGGCCGUCCGUCGUUGAUCAAAAAUAGCGACGGAAAUUUUAGGAUCAGCGACGGAAAAUUUCGUCGCUGAUCGCGCAGUUUCUUGUAGUGGGUAAUGUUGUAUACUUGUAUAUAUGAUCUUUAUGACUAUAAUAAUGUACAUGGAAACUUUUUUUUUUUUUUGAAACCUACAUGGAAACUUAUUUAAGUUAGUAUUUAAUGCCAUAAUCCCUUAAAUACAGUAGUAACUGAUUAAUUUUAAAAGUAAAAUUAAUUUAAAAAACCCAUAUUAAACUUGCGCACUUAUAUUAACUAUAAAAUUG